RNAcentral lists this unclassified non-coding RNA (1334 nucleotides) under uncultured Neocallimastigales. RNAcentral describes it as "partial contains small subunit ribosomal RNA, internal transcribed spacer 1, 5.8S ribosomal RNA, internal transcribed spacer 2, and large subunit ribosomal RNA". The stretch from base 595 to 1334 matches the Rfam family "Eukaryotic large subunit ribosomal RNA", at positions 1 to 616 of the family's 3401-position model. The record is from RNAcentral. Lineage: Eukaryota; Fungi; Neocallimastigomycota; Neocallimastigomycetes; Neocallimastigales.
UUUCCGUAGGUGAACCUGCGGAAGGAUCAUUAAAAAAUACACCUGAUUCGUGUUUAUAAUAUCCUACCCUUUGUGAAUUUGUUUUGUUUUAAUAUGUGUCUUCCCUGUUGGUUUUGAAAGUUGUAAAAACGUUUUCGAACCUCAGGGACUAGGCCAAACCUUUUUUUAAAUUCAACUUUUGUAUUCAUUUGUCUAAAUUAUUUUUAUAAUUAAAAACAACUUUGACAAUGGAUCUCUUGGUUCUCGCAACGAUGAAGAACGCAGCAAAAUGCGAUAAGUAGUGUGAAUUGCAGAAUACGUGAAUCAUCGAAUCUUCGAACGCAUAUUGCACUUUUUGGUUUACCAAAAAAGUAUGUCUGUUUGAGUAUCAGUAAAAUAUUCUCAUAAAACUAUUUGUUUUUAUGGUUAUGAGUGUUUUACAACGAUAAACAAGUUGUUUCACUUUAAAUUCUUUGUCUUUUAAAAAAUCAUUAAAAACUGAUUUUUUUUUAAAAUUGGAUAAAAUUUUCCCGUAAAAGGAAUAACCUAAACAAUUUUAAUUAAAAUUGGUUUGAUUUCUUUAAGACUUUAAAGGAAAAAAAGUAAAAAUUAACUUGAUCUCAAAUCAGAUAAGAGUACCCGCUGAACUAAGCAUAUCAAUAAGCGGAGGAAAAGAAACUAACUAGGAUUCCCUCAGUAACGGCGAGUGAAGCGGGAAGAGCUCAAAUUGAAAUCUUCAAGGUUCUACCUUGACGAACUGUAGUUUAAAGAAGUGUUUUCUGUUGGAGUUUGGUAAAGUUCUUUGGAAUAGGACAUCAUAGAGGGUGAGAUCCCGUAUUUGACCAUUAUUUCCAACUUUGUGAUACACUUUCAAAGAGUCGGAUUGUUUGGGAAUGCAGUCCAAAAUGGGUGGUAAAUUUCAUCUAAGCUAAAUACUGGCGAGAGACCGAUAGCGAACAAGUACCGUGAGGAAAGAUGAAAAGAACUUUGAAAAGAGAGUUAAACAGUACGUGAAAUGUCAAAAGGGAAGCGUUUGACACCAGUGUUGUUUUCUCGAAAAUCAAUUAAAAAUGGCGGGAUUUUGUGUUGUAUUGACUUACCAGCUUUCUGCACUUUUUCCUGUCUUUUUUAAUGCACUUUUCGUUUAACAAGUCAACAUCAAUUUCUUUUGUUGUAAAAGGGUAUUGGAAGGUGGCUUCUUUCGGAGAAAGUGUUUAUAGCCUUUGCCUCUGCAAUCGGAGAGAUUGAGGUCUGCAGCGUAGAUCCUUCGGGUUAGAUGCAUUUGUGCUAAGCUAUAGCUUUAUAGACAACUUGUUGACUAUGAUCAGUCAUGUAGCUUACUCGCUUAUGCUAUU